Long non-coding RNA from Nanorana parkeri, 110 nucleotides. RefSeq lists it as uncharacterized. The transcript has 3 exons. The record is from RefSeq and is a predicted model, not a curated record. NCBI's taxonomy places the organism in Eukaryota, Metazoa, Chordata, Amphibia, Anura, Dicroglossidae.
UCUAGAGCUUAGAGCAGUGAUGGUGAACCUUUUGGAGCCCGAGUGUCCAAACUGGAUCACUAAAUCAACUUAUGUAUUUCAAAGUGCCAACCCUGCAAUUGCAACCUCUG